UCGAAAAAGCGCCUGACACAAAAAUGGAAAAAGAGAACGCGUUUAUCUUUUCCGGUAAUACAUCUAACGCGUGGAUAGACUCUUUAUUUCAUGGAUACUCCAUAUAUAUGCUAGCUCACGGGCAAUCCUUACUAACCCUAGAAAAAUCUCUUUAAUUUCUCAGUCUCCAAAAAUCGAAUCGUUCCGACGCCUUUGAUGUUCAGAUCUUCCGGUGCUCCUGUCGCAGAUGACUUUCGCCCUUCUCUACAACGACCCUUCGAAUCAAAUAUUUUGGAAGGUUUUUAGUGUGAUAAGUGCGAGUCAUCUGUGACAGGAUAAUGGAAGAUCUAGUUAUCAAAGGCUUAUUGGGGCGUUUUCAUCCAAAAUCUCCAACUCUAUUAGAGUAUUCUUCAAUGUACCACUGGAGGCAAUGCAUCCUUUCCAGAUGCUGCUAGCAACAUAUCUAAUUAUCUCUCAUGUUGGUUGAAUAUGAGGUUAAUUAUCCAUCAUUUGAUUCAUGUUUAGCUGCGGGUGAUGGUGGAAAUUUCAGAAAAUCGUGGGUGAGAGCUUGACAAUUCUCUCCUGUACUAUUGUCAUUGCAUGCUGGGCAUGUUAGCCACUCUCUGGAGGUCCAGUUGUACAAAUAUCGCUUUCCUGAGAGAGCACUUUUCUUCGAAUCUUGUCUGGCUUUCAUCCAAUUUUCUUCAAAAUUAGGAAAUGGAAUCUUCAAGUAGGAUAUUGAAGGAGGGAGAUAGAUUUUAUGAUUUUAAGAAGUGGUUUCCUGCUGAUUGUUAUUGGAAAGACGAUUGAAAUUUUAA
This is a non-coding RNA of Nicotiana tabacum (common tobacco), 797 nucleotides long. NCBI's taxonomy places the organism in Eukaryota, Viridiplantae, Streptophyta, Magnoliopsida, Solanales, Solanaceae. The record is from RefSeq and is a predicted model, not a curated record.